AGCAGCCGCGGUAAUUCCAGCUCCAAUAGCGUAUAUUAAAGUUGUUGCAGUUAAAAAGCUCGUAGUUGAAUUUCGGGGUUAGUACGCUGGUCAUGCCUUCGGUAUGUACUGGUGUUACCGAUUCCUACCUUCUGAAGAACCGUCAUGUCAUUAGUUUGGUGUGGCGGGGAAUCAGGACUGUUACUUUGAAAAAAUUAGAGUGUUUAAAGCAGGCUCGCGCUUGAAUACAUUAGCAUGGAAUAAUGAAAUAGGACGUUCGAUCCUAUUUUGUUGGUUUCUAGGAUUGACGUAAUGAUUAAUAGGGAUAGUUGGGGGCAUUAGUAUUCAAUUGUCAGAGGUGAAAUUCUUGGAUUUAUUGAAGACUAACUACUGCGAAAGCAUUUGCCAAGGAUGUUUUCAUUAAUCAAGAAACGAAAGUUAGGGGAUCGAAGACGGUCAGAUACCGUCGUA
Molecule: ribosomal RNA, 450 nt
Filed under: uncultured Glomeromycotina
Lineage: Eukaryota; Fungi; Glomeromycota
Description: SSU rRNA
Rfam family: Eukaryotic small subunit ribosomal RNA
Source: RNAcentral